CUGGCUAUCCUUCGACGGCUCCUCUAUCCUCGUUCUCGAUUUCUUUCGCUCCUCUUUGUUCUUAUUCUCUGUCAUUGCCUCGUCCUGCGUGCACUUCUCUUCUGAAAAUUUGUUAAAUGACAAUUAUUACGAUUACGGCAAAUUGCGGAUACAAAGACUUCGACAAGCAUUGUAGAAUUUCUUUCGAUUUUCUUGGAAGCUUAGAAUAGGAAAAAGAAGUAUUAGGCGUGGACAUAAAUGACUCAGAAUUACUUAUAAACAAUUAAAUGCAGUGGCUCGCGAAAGUAUUCGAUUAUACUUGUCGAUACCUUCUAUAAACAUAUUAUGUGUGUUACACGAAACAUUUU
Bombus impatiens (common eastern bumble bee) is the source of this 347-nucleotide long non-coding RNA. RefSeq lists it as uncharacterized. The transcript has 2 exons. NCBI's taxonomy places the organism in Eukaryota, Metazoa, Arthropoda, Insecta, Hymenoptera, Apidae. The record is from RefSeq and is a predicted model, not a curated record.